CUGGCUCAGGAUGAACGCUAGCUACAGGCUUAACACAUGCAAGUCGAGGGGCAGCAUGAUCAAAGCUUGCUUGAUGAUGGCGACCGGCGCACGGGUGAGUAACGCGUAUCCAACCUUCCCUAUAGUAGUGGAUAGCCCGGCGAAAGUCGGAUUAAUACACUAUGUUGUAUUUAGAGGACACCUGAAGAAUACCAAAGGCUUGCCGCUAUAGGAUGGGGAUGCGUCUGAUUAGGUAGCAGGCGGGGUAACGGCCCACCUGGCCUACGAUCAGUAGGGGUUCUGAGAGGAAGGUCCCCCACAUUGGAACUGAGACACGGUCCAAACUCCUACGGGAGGCAGCAGUGAGGAAUAUUGGUCAAUGGACGGGAGUCUGAACCAGCCAAGUAGCGUGCAGGAUGACGGCCCUAUGGGUUGUAAACUGCUUUUAGUACGGGGAUAAAGUGAGCCACGUGUGGCUUUUGUAGGUACCGUAUGAAUAAGGACCGGCUAAUUCCGUGCCAGCAGCUGC
Molecule: ribosomal RNA, 508 nt
Filed under: uncultured bacterium
Lineage: Bacteria
Description: bacterial SSU rRNA
Rfam family: Bacterial small subunit ribosomal RNA
Source: RNAcentral